CUUCCUUCUUUUUCUCUCUCGCUUUGGCCUCUUCCGGUCGGUGGAGUGCCUGUUAGCGCAGGCUGCGGUGUAAAGAUGGCUAAGUCUAAGAACCAUACCACCCAUAACCAAUCACGAAAAUGGCACAGAAAUGGCAUCAAGAAACCUAGGUCACAGAGAUACGAGUCUCUGAAAGGGGUUGACCCCAAGUUUCUGAGAAACAUGCGCUUUGCCAAGAAACACAACAAGAAGGGGCUGAAGAAGAUGCAGGCCAACAACGCCAAAGCC
Long non-coding RNA from Vombatus ursinus (common wombat), 267 nucleotides. RefSeq lists it as uncharacterized. Lineage: Eukaryota; Metazoa; Chordata; Mammalia; Diprotodontia; Vombatidae. The transcript is spliced from 4 exons. The record is from RefSeq and is a predicted model, not a curated record.